CCUACGGGUGGCAGCAGUGGGGAAUAUUGGACAAUGGGCGAAAGCCUGAUCCAGUCAUGCCGCGUGUGUGAAGAAGGCCUUCGGGUUGUAAAGCACUUUCAGUGGGGAAGAAAGCCUUGGGGCUAAUACCCUCGAGGAAGGACAUCACCCACAGAAGAAGCACCGGCUAACUCCGUGCCAGCAGCCGCGGUAAUACGGAGGGUGCGAGCGUUAAUCGGAAUUACUGGGCGUAAAGCGCGCGUAGGCGGUCUGAUAAGCCGGUUGUGAAAGCCCCGGGCUCAACCUGGGAACGGCAUCCGGAACUGUCAGGCUAGAGUGCAGGAGAGGAAGGUAGAAUUCCCGGUGUAGCGGUGAAAUGCGUAGAGAUCGGGAGGAAUACCAGUGGCGAAGGCGGCCUUCUGGACUGACACUGACGCUGAGGUGCGAAAGCGUGGGUAGCAAACAGGAUUAGAUACCCUGGUAGUC
This 465-nucleotide ribosomal RNA is filed under the name Vreelandella stevensii. Its description in RNAcentral is "partial 16S ribosomal RNA". It matches the Rfam family "Bacterial small subunit ribosomal RNA", at positions 338 to 795 of the family's 1533-position model. Lineage: Bacteria; Pseudomonadati; Pseudomonadota; Gammaproteobacteria; Oceanospirillales; Halomonadaceae. The record is from RNAcentral.